Long non-coding RNA from Bactrocera tryoni, 933 nucleotides. RefSeq lists it as uncharacterized. The record is from RefSeq and is a predicted model, not a curated record. The transcript is spliced from 3 exons. NCBI's taxonomy places the organism in Eukaryota, Metazoa, Arthropoda, Insecta, Diptera, Tephritidae.
CAAAGCGAAAAUGCGCAAAUUACUGCUGUUCAAAGAAAGUAAAUAAAAGUAAAAUUUUUAUAUUGUUAUUAUUUUUAUUAAAUGUAAGUAUGGAAUCUUUAUCCGCGGCGAUAUUACUGGUUGAGGAGGAGAGCAGCGCAUCUCAGAAUGCUGGGGUGAGAAUUGAAAGGAGAAGAUUACAAGAUAUGUGCGAUCGCUUCCAGAUGAAUGACGGGCUAUUCAAAACAAACUUUCGUCUGCAUAAGGACGCAUUCAAGUAUGUCCUAGAUGCGUUUGCGGAAGAAAUGACGGCAAGUACUUUGUCCUCGUUAUCUCCGCUUAACAUUGUAGUAUCCGCUUUAAGAUUUUUUGCGAAAGGCAGUUACCAUCAUGGAGUUGGCGCAGACCACAAUGUUGGAAUGGCACAGUCAACCGUGUCAAAGUGGCUGUGAAAUUUUCUCAAAAUAAUGCAGCAAGAGCUAUGCCCACAGUGGAUAAAAUUUGAGCAAAAUGAAAUAGAAAAGCAGGAAGCAAAACAAGAUUUUUUUACGAAAGCUGGUUUCCCAGGUGUUAUCAUGUGCUUUGAUGAUAGAAAAGGAUUUUAUAGCAUCAAUGCUAUGUUGGUGUGCGAUCACAAAUUACGAAUAAGAAGCAUUGACCCAUUACAACCUUGGCUAAUGACUCCGUAUCGUUCCGUAAGUCAAGACAGCCGACAAAGUAAUUAUAACAUAAAGCACUCUAAAACUAGAAAUAUUAUAGAGCGAACGAUCGGUGUUUUAAAGAACCGCUUUCGAUGUUUGUUGGGAGCUCGAGAGCUGCAUUACUCGCCUCAAAAAGCGAGUCAAAUUAUAAAUGUUGCUUGUGCACUACACAAUAUUUGCAUUUUCUACAAAGUAGAAGAUUUGAACCCGAUAGAAUUUGAUAAUGAAAGCCCUCAAGACGAAGAGGAACAAA